UUGUGCUUGAUCUAACCAUGUGGUUGCCAGGUAUGAGUAAAACAUGGUUCCGUCAAGCACCAUG
Bos grunniens (domestic yak) is the source of this 64-nucleotide microRNA precursor. The record is from Ensembl. Lineage: Eukaryota; Metazoa; Chordata; Mammalia; Artiodactyla; Bovidae.